UACGAAGGGAGCUAGCGUUGUUCGGAAUCACUGGGCGUAAAGCGCACGUAGGCGGAUGUGUCAGUCAGGGGUGAAAUCCCGGAGCUCAACUUCGGAACUGCCUUUGAUACUGCACGUCUUGAGUCCGGUAGAGGUGGGUGGAAUUCCUAGUGUAGAGGUGAAAUUCGUAGAUAUUAGGAAGAACACCGGUGGCGAAGGCGGCCCACUGGAUCGGUACUGACGCUGAGGUGCGAAAGCGUGGGGAGCAAACAGG
RNAcentral lists this ribosomal RNA (253 nucleotides) under uncultured bacterium. RNAcentral describes it as "partial 16S ribosomal RNA". It matches the Rfam family "Bacterial small subunit ribosomal RNA", at positions 524 to 776 of the family's 1533-position model. The record is from RNAcentral.